Molecule: ribosomal RNA, 209 nt
Filed under: uncultured bacterium
Lineage: Bacteria
Description: partial 16S ribosomal RNA
Rfam family: Bacterial small subunit ribosomal RNA
Source: RNAcentral
UAGCCUUGGAGUGGGGAAUAACACAGUGAGAACUGUGCUAAUACCGCAUAAUGCAUUUGGGUCGCAUGAUUCUGAAUGCCAAAGAUUUAUCGCUCUGAGAUGGACUCGCGUCUGAUUAGCUGGUUGGCGGGGUAACGGCCCACCAAGGCGACGAUCAGUAGCCGGACUGAGAGGUUGGCCGGCCACAUUGGGACUGAGACACGGCCCAG